UACGGAGGAUCCAAGCGUUAUCCGGAUUUAUUGGGUUUAAAGGGUGCGUAGGCGGAUUGAUAAGUUAGAGGUGAAAUGUCCGAGCUCAACUCGGGAACUGCCUCUAAUACUGUUGAUCUAGAGAGUAGAUGCGGUAGGCGGAAUGUAUGGUGUAGCGGUGAAAUGCUUAGAGAUCAUACAGAACACCGAUUGCGAAGGCAGCUUACCAAUCUAUAUCUGACGUUGAGGCACGAAAGCGCGGGGAGCAAACAGG
RNAcentral lists this ribosomal RNA (253 nucleotides) under uncultured bacterium. Its description in RNAcentral is "partial 16S ribosomal RNA". It matches the Rfam family "Bacterial small subunit ribosomal RNA", at positions 524 to 776 of the family's 1533-position model. The record is from RNAcentral.